RNAcentral lists this microRNA precursor (90 nucleotides) under Canis lupus familiaris (dog). RNAcentral describes it as "mir-8799 microRNA precursor family". It matches the Rfam family "mir-8799 microRNA precursor family". Lineage: Eukaryota; Metazoa; Chordata; Mammalia; Carnivora; Canidae. RNAcentral also lists the same sequence under 1 other name. The record is from Rfam by way of RNAcentral.
GGGGGGAGCGCUGGAUCUUGGGCUGUGUCUCCGGUGCCCGGUGCUCCCGGGCCUGCGCUGUUGGAACUGCUCCCGGACGCGCAGCUCCCU